CCUACGGGAGGCAGCAGUGGGGAAUAUUGCACAAUGGGGGAAACCCUGAUGCAGCAACGCCGCGUGAGUGAAGAAGUAUUUCGGUAUGUAAAGCUCUAUCAGAAGGGAAGAAGAUGACGGUAACUGAAUAAGAAGCCCCGGCUAACUACGUGCCAGCAGCCGAGGUAAUACGUAGGGGGCAAGCGUUAUACGGAUUUACUGGGGGUAAAGGGAGCGAAGACGGCAGGGCAAGUGUGGAGUGAAAGCCCGGG
RNAcentral lists this ribosomal RNA (251 nucleotides) under uncultured bacterium. RNAcentral's name for it is "partial 16S ribosomal RNA". It matches the Rfam family "Bacterial small subunit ribosomal RNA", at positions 338 to 606 of the family's 1533-position model. The record is from RNAcentral.